UAAAUGUUACUAUCUUAUAAAUUUCUUUGCAUAUAAUGUAUUUAAUACUGAAAAAAUACAGGACUCUCAUCAAAUAAAUCAACAAACAUUAGAUGCCUGCCAUGAGCUUGCAUUGUUGUAGAUUUAUCAGUUUAAGCAUCUAAAGAGAGAGAGAGAAGUAAUACUGUUUUUCGGGAAAAACAAAACAAGCAAAAAACUGACAAAAAACUCCCUCUGUAGAUAUGAAGUUUAUUGAGCAAUUUAUUAAGUUACAAAUUAUAGUAGUGGAUAAAGCUCUACUGAAAUGGACUAAAUCGAGACUCAACAAAUUGGAUUGGAUCAAAUUUAAAAGGCACUUGAGGGAUGAGCAGGAAGCAGCAAAAUCAAAUGCAAUGGCUCAAAAUCUACUUCUUGGUUCUGGUGGAAGUUUGUACAGAAGAAAGAAAGAGAAUCUUACACGUUGGAGGAGUUGGAGGAGUGCAGAGACUUUGAAAAGUGAUUAAAAGGGAGAGAAGAAAAAAUGCUAAAUACAAUGCAGCCACACCAUAAUAAAACUGCUUUUCCAGUCAUUUAUCUAUGUUAAAAUGUUAAU
Long non-coding RNA from Antechinus flavipes (yellow-footed antechinus), 571 nucleotides. RefSeq lists it as uncharacterized. NCBI's taxonomy places the organism in Eukaryota, Metazoa, Chordata, Mammalia, Dasyuromorphia, Dasyuridae. The record is from RefSeq and is a predicted model, not a curated record. The transcript has 3 exons.